Molecule: ribosomal RNA, 497 nt
Filed under: uncultured bacterium
Lineage: Bacteria
Description: partial 16S ribosomal RNA
Rfam family: Bacterial small subunit ribosomal RNA
Source: RNAcentral
GAUGAACGCUGGCGGCGUGCCUAAUACAUGCAAGUCGAGCGAACAGACGAGGCGCUCGCUCCUCUGACGUUAGCGGCGGACGGGUGAGUAACACGUGGCUAACCUACCUCUCUGACUGAGAUAACUUCGAGAGGCCGUAGUUCCUACCGGAUAAUAUCUCGAACCGCAUGGUUCAGUAGUGAAAGACGGUUUUUCUGUCACUUCUAGAUGUAUCCGCGCCGCAUUAGCUAGUUGGUAAGGUAACGGCUUACCAAGGCAGCGAUGCGUAGCCGACGUGAGAGGGGGGUAGGCCACACGGGAGCUGAGACACGGACCAGACGCCUGCGGGACGGAGCAGUAGGGUAUCGGCCGCAAUGGGCGAGAGCCUUACGGAACAACGGCGCGUGAGUGGUGGAGGUCUUCGGAGAGGAAUACUCGGUUAUUAGGGAAGAACAUAUGUGUAAGGAACUGAACACGUCGUGACGGUACCUAAACAGAAAGCCACGGCUAACUACGUG